UGUACACACACCUCACCUCCCAGCUGAUGGCCCUGGUGUGGGGCAAGGUGGCGCUGGUGCUGGAGGUGUGGCCAGGCCUGUACACACACCUCACCUCCCAGCUGAUGGCCCUGGCGCGGGGCAAGGUGGUGCUGGUGCUGGAGGUGACCAGUCUGACCUCACCCAAACAUUGUGGCAGGAGCUGAGCACCACACAUCCACACACUGGGUGGGUGGUGCCUGCCGUCCUGGCCAAGAGUGCCGCCCACACCCUCAGUGCCUUGCUGGGCCACCACUGCCCCCCUGCUGGACCCCCCUGCAGCCAUCACCAAGCCUUCAGGAGACACUGCUGAGCCUGGUGUAUGUCCAACGGGCACACUGGCGCUGCUUCCAGUACCAGGGUCCUUAUGCCAGCAGGAGGUGCGGGGCGAGGCUGACCCCAGCACCUUCACCCCGAGCCUCUCCUUCCAAGGCCUGGUGGGUGUCUGGCCCUUACGCCUCCAGACCAGAGACACCAUGCAGCUCCUGACACCACAGACACAGCAGCUCAGGGAGAGGAUUGGUGAGAAACUGCUGCAGCUGAGGAGGGAAGAGGCCGUGGUGCUGAGUGAGUCUCCGAGGCUGUGUCUGGUGUGUGACGAGCAGGUGGAGCAACACGCAGCCUUACGGAAGGGGAACAUCCAGAGCGGCCAGAGCGCAUCCAGCGGUUGUGGGAGAUGCUGGGUCGUGCCGGGGAGCUGUGGCGAGGCCAGCGGCU
Molecule: long non-coding RNA, 735 nt
Organism: Eriocheir sinensis (Chinese mitten crab)
Lineage: Eukaryota; Metazoa; Arthropoda; Malacostraca; Decapoda; Varunidae
Exons: 5
Source: RefSeq, a predicted model, not a curated record